GACACUGCAGGGGGUUUCUGUUUUCCUCAGUCAGAUCAACCCUUUAGGAUCAUUGGAUCAUUGUCGGGGCUGCCAUGAGCUGGACAGCCUUGUUUUCCUACCUCAGACAUUU
This is a non-coding RNA of Eptesicus fuscus (big brown bat), 112 nucleotides long. The record is from RefSeq and is a predicted model, not a curated record. Lineage: Eukaryota; Metazoa; Chordata; Mammalia; Chiroptera; Vespertilionidae.